GUAUGUAAAAUAUGAACAUCUGGCUUUAAAAUCACUUUUAAGUCAACCAACAUUAUUGUAAAUAUUUGUGUAAAUAUGAACUAUGUGUUUUGUCAAAUCGCCUUGGCUUCAUUUUGUCUGUUAUAAUAAUGAAGACAGUAAUACCAUAAUACUCAGUUGUACCUUUGAGAUUUACAUAUAUGUUUAAAUCAGUGUACAUGUGGAGUGUUUGUGUGUGUGUUUGUUCAUGUGCGUGUGUGUGCGUCUAGUGUGUGUUUGUCAGUGUGUGUGUGUAUGUGUGUGUGUGUGUGUAGUGUGUUUGUCAGUGUGUGUAGUGUGUUUGUCAGUGUGUGUGUAUUGUGUGUUUGUCAGUGUGUGUGUGUAGUGUGUGUUUGUCAGUGUGUGUGUGUAGUGUGUGUUUGUCAGUGUGUGUCUGCAGUGUGUGUGUGUAGUGUGUGUUUGUCAGUGUGAGUGUGUAGUGUGUGUUUGUCAGUGUGUGUGUGUGUAGUCUGUGUGUGCAGUGUGUGUUUGUCAGUGUUUGUGUGCAGUGUGUGUUUGUCAGUCUGUGUGUGCGUGUAGUGUAUGUUUGUCAGUGUGUGUGUGUGUGUGUGUGUGUGUGUGUGUGUGUGUGUGUGUGUGUGUGUGUGUGUGUGUUUGUCAGUAUGUGCGUGUAGUGUGUGUGUAGUGUAUGUUUGUCAGUGUGUGUGUGUGUAGUGUGUGUUUGUCAGUGUGUGUGUGUGUAGUGUGUGUUUGUCAGUGUGUGUGUGUGUGUUGUAUGUUUGUCAGUGUGUGUGUGUGUGUGUGUAGUGUGUGUUUGUCAGUGUGUGUGUGCAGUGUGUGUCUGCAGUGUGUGUUUGUCCGUGUGCGCGUGUGUGUGUGUGUGUGUGUGUGUGUUUGUCAGAAUGUGUAUGUAGUGUGUGUUUGUCAGUGUGUGUGUGUGUGUGUGUGUGUGUGUGUGUGUGUGUGUGUGUUUGUCAGUGUGUGUGUGUGUAGUGUGUGUUUGUCAGUGUGUGUGUGUGUGUGUGUGUGUGUAGUGUGUGUUUGUCAGUGUGUGUGUGUGUAGUGUGUGUUUGUCAGUGUGUGUGUUUGUCAGUGUGUGUGUGUGUGUGUAGUGUGUUUGUCAGUGUGUGUAGUGUGUUUGUCAGUGUGUGUGUAGUGUGUGCUUGUCAGUGUGUGUGUGUAGUGUGUGUUUGUCAGUGUGUGUGUGUAGUGUGUGUUUGUCAGUGUGUGUCUGCAGUGUGUGUGUGUAGUGUGUGUUUGUCAGUGUGUGUUUGUCAGUGUGUGUGUGUAGUGUGUGUUUGUCAGUGUGAGUGUGUAGUGUGUGUUUGUCAGUGUGUGUGUGUGUAGUCUGUGUGUGCAGUGUGUGUUUGUCAGUGUGUGUGUGCAGUGUGUGUUUGUCAGUCUGUGUGUGCGUGUAGUGUAUGUUUGUCAGUGUGUGUGUGUGUGUGUGUGUGUGUGUGUGUGUGUGUGUGUGUGUGUGUGUGUGUGUGUGUGUGUGUGUGUUUGUCAGUGUGUGCGUGUAGUGUGUGUGUAGUGUAUGUUUGUCAGUGUGUGUGUGUGUGUGUAGUGUGUGUUUGUCAGUGUGUGUGUGUGUAGUGUGUGUUUGUCAGUGUGUGUGUGUGUGUGUGUAGUGUAUGUUUGUCAGUGUGUGUGUGUGUGUGUAGUGUAUGUUUGUCAGUGUGUGUGUGUGUGUGUGUGUGUGUGUGUGUGUGUGUGUGUGUGUGUGUGUGUGUGUGUGUGUGUGUGUGUGUGUGUGUAGUGUGUGUGUAGUGUAUGUUUGUCAGUGUGUGUGUGUGUGUAGUGUGUGUUUGUCAGUGUGUGUGUGCAGUGUGUGUCUGCAGUGUGUGUUUGUCCGUGUGCGGUGUGUGUGUGUGUUUGUCAGAAUGUGUAUGUAGUGUGUGUUUGUCAGUGUGUGUGUGUGUGUGUUUGUCAGUGUGUGUGUGUGUAGUGUGUGUUUGUCAGUGUGUGUGUGUGUGUGUGUGUGUGUGUGUGUGUGUUGUGUGUUGGUCAGUGUGUGUGUGUGUAGUGUGUGUUUGUCAGUGUGUGUUUGUCAGUGUGUGUGUGUGUGUGUGUGUAGUGUGUGUUUGUCAGUGUGUGUGUGUAGUGUGUGUUUGUCAGUGUGUGUUUGUCAGUGUGUGUGUGUGUGUGUGUGUGUGUGUGUGUGUGUGUGUAGUGUGUGUUUGUCAGUGUGUGUUUGUCAGUGUGUGUGUGUGUGUGUGUGUGUGUGUGUGUGUGUGUGUGUGUGUGUGUGUGUGUGUGUGUGUGCAGUGUGUGUUUGUCAGUGUGUGUAUGUAAUGUGUGUUUGUCAGUGUGUGUGUGUUUGUAGAGAAAGAGGAAGUGUCUACUAGAACCACCACAGAGAGAACAGACUGAGGACAGACCUUAUUGAAGGUACUGUAACAGGAGUAGUGUAGGGUGUAGUGAAGGUACUGUAACAGGAGUAGUGUAGGGUGUUGUGAAGGUACUGUAACAGGAGUAGUGUAGGGUGUAGUGAAGGUACUGUAACAGGAGUAGUGUAGGAUGUAGUGAAGGUACUGUAACAGGAGUAGUGUAGGGUGUUGUGAAGGUGCUGUAACAGGAGUUGUGUAGUGAAGGUACUGUGACAGGAGUAGUGUAGGGUAUAGUGAAAGUACUGUAACAGGAUUAGUGUAGGGUGUAGUGAAGGUACUGUAACAGGAGUAGUGUAGGGUGUAGUGAAGGUACUGUAACAGGAGUAGUGUAGGGUGUUGUGAAGGUACUGUAACAGGAGUAGUGUAGGGUGUAGUGAAGGUACUGUAACAGGAGUAGUGUAGGGUGUUGUGAAGGUGCUGUAACAGGAGUUGUGUAGUGAAGGUACUGUGACAGGAGUAGUGUAGGGUGUAGUGAAAGUACUGUAACAGGAUUAGUGUAGGGCGUAGUGAAAGUACUGUAACAGGAUUAGUGUAGGGUGUAGUGAAGGUACUGUAACAGGAGUAGUGUAGGGUGUAGUGAAGGUGCUGCAACAGGAGUAGUGUAGGGUGUAGUGAAGGUACUGUGACAGGAGUAGUGUAGGGUGUAGUGAAGGUACUGUAACAGGAGCAGUGUAGGGUGUAGUGAAGGUACUGUAACAGAAGUAGUGAAGAUACUGUAACAGGAGUAGGUUAGGGUGUAGUGAAGGUACUGUAACAGGAGUAUUGUAGGGUGUAGUGAAGGUACUGUAACAGGAGUAGUGUAGGGUGUAGUGAAGGUACUGUAACAGGAGUAGUGUAGGGUGUAGUGAAGGUACUGUAACAGGAGUAGUGUAGGGUGUAGUGAAAGUACUGUGACAGGGGUAGUGUAGGGUGUAGUGAAGGUACUGUAACAGGAGUAGUGUAGGGUGUAGUGAAGGUACUGUUACAGGAGUAGUGUAGGGUGUAGUGAAAGUACUGUGACAGGGGUAGUGUAGGGUGUAGUGAAGGUACUGUAACAGGAGUAGUGUAGGGUGUAGUGAAGGUACUGUUACAAGAGUAAGAUUAGUGGUGCCAGCCUUUUUCGUUGGUAACCAACCUUCGUUGUGUUUUUACUGUAGCAAGGCAAACUUAAUUUUGUAGUGAGGUAGCCUUGCUUCUAUCGGACGGUACCUUCCCUCCCAUAUGCCGCUGAAAGGGUGAGCCUUUGAAAAUCAUCUGUAUCCACCUGUUUGUCAGUCAUUUUGAGACGAAGUUUCAUGAAAACCUUGAUUUUAUCCUCCGUGGACUGAUAGUUGUAGUUUUCAUCCUCCUUUAUUUUCAGUAUGAGAAUAUAAUUCUUCAUACGUCUGCACUUCUGAUCAAGUCAUUCCACUUUCAUUGUUUUAUGAUCAUACCGUAGCCUCUCUGUAGUGGAGGUCAGGGAGUCCACAGUCAUUUCAAUAUCUUAUUUUAGGCUCCUAUUUCAUCAUUUUAUUG
RNAcentral lists this long non-coding RNA (3863 nucleotides) under Salmo salar (Atlantic salmon). RNAcentral describes it as "lncRNA (ENSSSAG00000120856.1)". The record is from RNAcentral. Lineage: Eukaryota; Metazoa; Chordata; Actinopteri; Salmoniformes; Salmonidae.